CGACGGGUAGCCGGCCUGAGAGGGUGACCGGCCACACUGGGACUGAGACACGGCCCAGACUCCUACGGGAGGCAGCAGUGGGGAAUAUUGCACAAUGGGCGCAAGCCUGAUGCAGCGACGCCGCGUGAGGGAUGACGGCCUUCGGGUUGUAAACCUCUUUCAGUAGGGAAGAAGCGAAAGUGACGGUACCUGCAGAAGAAGCGCCGGCUAACUACGUGCCAGCAGCCGCGGUAAUACGUAGGGCGCAAGCGUUAUCCGGAAUUAUUGGGCGUAAAGAGCUCGUAGGCGGUUUGUCGCGUCUGCCGUGAAAGUCCGGGGCUCAACUCCGGAUCUGCGGUGGGUACGGGCAGACUAGAGUGAUGUAGGGGAGACUGGAAUUCCUGGUGUAGCGGUGAAAUGCGCAGAUAUCAGGAGGAACACCGAUGGCGAAGGCAGGUCUCUGGGCAUUAACUGACGCUGAGGAGCGAAAGCAUGGGGAGCGAACAGGAUUAGAUACCCUGGUAGUCCAUGCCGUAAACGUUGGGCACUAGGUGUGGGGGACAUUCCACGUUUUCCGCGCCGUAGCUAACGCAUUAAGUGCCCCGCCUGGGGAGUACGG
This 598-nucleotide ribosomal RNA is filed under the name Arthrobacter sp. CMT9. RNAcentral's name for it is "bacterial SSU rRNA". It matches the Rfam family "Bacterial small subunit ribosomal RNA", at positions 277 to 885 of the family's 1533-position model. The record is from RNAcentral. Lineage: Bacteria; Bacillati; Actinomycetota; Actinomycetes; Micrococcales; Micrococcaceae.